GCUGUGAUGUCACUAAAAGUCGUUUUUCAUAUGACAUUCCCCAGGGUAGUGGUC
RNAcentral lists this transfer RNA (54 nucleotides) under Flustrellidra hispida. RNAcentral describes it as "tRNA-Glu". The record is from RNAcentral. Lineage: Eukaryota; Metazoa; Bryozoa; Gymnolaemata; Ctenostomatida; Flustrellidridae.